GGAGCGGGCGAAGGCGAUCGCCUGCAUGUUGUUGGUGCGCGUAAGCGAUACACAUGUGCAGGAGGAAAGUCCGAACUGGAUAGGGCACGGUGGUUGGUAACGCCAACCCGGCGCGAGCCGCGGGAAAGUGCCACAGAAAAGACACCGCCUGCGAAUGGCUGGAACACGCAAGAUUCGAAACGUCGAGACGAACCGUUUUGAUGCUUCGAUGUUGCGGCGACUUCGUAGGUAAGGGUGAAAUGGUGCGGUAAGAGCGCACCGCGCGGUCGGUGACGACCGCGGCAGGGUAAACCCCACCGCCAGCAAGCCCAAGUAAGCAGCGAGAGGCGGCCCGCCUCGCGAAUCCCCGAAAGGGGAUUCUUAAACUGCGGGUAGGGUGCUCGAGCCGGCGGGCGACCGUCGGCCUAGAUAAAUGAUCGCCCAAUCGCAUUAUGCGAUGGACAGAAUUCGGCUUAUCCGCCCGCUCCACCU
Molecule: RNase P RNA, 471 nt
Filed under: Phycisphaerales bacterium
Lineage: Bacteria; Pseudomonadati; Planctomycetota; Phycisphaerae; Phycisphaerales
Description: RNase P RNA component class A
Rfam family: Bacterial RNase P class A
About the family: Ribonuclease P (RNase P) is a ubiquitous endoribonuclease, found in archaea, bacteria and eukarya as well as chloroplasts and mitochondria.
Source: RNAcentral